This 252-nucleotide ribosomal RNA is filed under the name uncultured bacterium. RNAcentral describes it as "partial 16S ribosomal RNA". It matches the Rfam family "Bacterial small subunit ribosomal RNA", at positions 524 to 777 of the family's 1533-position model. The record is from RNAcentral.
UACGUAGGGGGCAAGCGUUGUCCGGAAUUAUUGGGCGUAAAGCGCGCGCAGGCGGUCCUUUAAGUUCUGAUGUGAAAGCCCACGGCUCAACCGUGGAGGGUCAUUGGAAACUGGGGACUUGAGUGCAGAAGAGGAAAGCGGAAUUCCACGUGUAGCGGUGAAAUGCGUAGAGAUGUGGAGGAACACAGUGGCGAAGGCGGCUUCUGGUCUGUAACUGACGCUGAGGCGCGAAAGCGUGGGGAGCAAACAGGA